AGAGUUUGAUCAUGGCUCAGGAUGAACGCUAGCUACAGGCUUAACACAUGCAAGUCGAGGGGAAACGACAUCGAAAGCUUGCUUUUGAUGGGCGUCGACCGGCGCACGGGUGAGUAACGCGUAUCCAACCUGCCCACCACUUGGGGAUAACCUUGCGAAAGUAAGACUAAUACCCAAUGACGUCUCUAGAAGACAUCUGAAGGAGAUUAAAGAUUUAUCGGUGAUGGGUGGGGAUGCGUCUGAUUAGCUUGUUGGCGGGUAACGCCACAAGGCGACGAUCAGUAGGGUUCUGAGAGGAACGGUCCCCACAUUGGAACUGAGACACGGUCCAAACUCCGUACGGGAGCA
This 348-nucleotide ribosomal RNA is filed under the name uncultured bacterium. Its description in RNAcentral is "bacterial SSU rRNA". It matches the Rfam family "Bacterial small subunit ribosomal RNA", at positions 8 to 349 of the family's 1533-position model. The record is from RNAcentral.